GACAGAGGUGCCAAGCGUUAGGCGGAAUCACUGGGCUUAAAGCGUGUGUAGGCGGGUCGUUAAGUACCUUGUGAAAUCCCACGGCUCAACCGUGGAACUGCUUGGUAUACUGGCGAUCUUGAGCCAGCUAGGGGCUACCGGAACAAAUGGUGGAGCGGUGAAAUGCGUAGAUAUCAUUUGGAACGCCAAUGGUGAAAACAGGUAGCUGGGGCUGUGCUGACACUGAGACACGAAAGCCAGGGGAGCAAACGGG
This 253-nucleotide ribosomal RNA is filed under the name uncultured bacterium. RNAcentral describes it as "partial 16S ribosomal RNA". It matches the Rfam family "Bacterial small subunit ribosomal RNA", at positions 524 to 776 of the family's 1533-position model. The record is from RNAcentral.